GUCGGUCCACAAGUGGUAAAGAAGAAGAAGAACGCCUACAAGCACACCGGAAAAACUACAGAAGUUUAGCUCCGCCCCGACUCGUUGAGAGGAAAUGUGGAACAUGAGCAUUCGAAGCAGGAGAAGAGAGCGCAAACAGGAGCUCAGACGACUGGAGCUAGAGAUGGUGAACAAACCCACUGAAGAUCUGCAUCUGCCAGAUCAGAAGAUAUAAAACUGCCUGAGCUCUUCUCCACUGGAUAAACCGGCAAUCUGGAGGAUUUGCAUGUGAGCUCCAAAUUGUUUUCUCAUUACAGAAUUAUCAUGCCUAUAAUGGAGGAUUUUUAUAUUCUU
This is a long non-coding RNA of Ictalurus punctatus (channel catfish), 333 nucleotides long. NCBI's taxonomy places the organism in Eukaryota, Metazoa, Chordata, Actinopteri, Siluriformes, Ictaluridae. The record is from Ensembl.